RNAcentral lists this ribosomal RNA (497 nucleotides) under uncultured bacterium. Its description in RNAcentral is "partial 16S ribosomal RNA". It matches the Rfam family "Bacterial small subunit ribosomal RNA", at positions 28 to 507 of the family's 1533-position model. The record is from RNAcentral.
GACGAACGCUGGCGGCGUGCCUAAUACAUGCAAGUUGAGCGAUGAAGAUUGGUGCUUGCACCAAUUUGAAGAGCAGCGAACGGGUGAGUAACGCGUGGGGAAUCUGCCUUUGAGCGGGGGACAACAUUUGGAAACGAAUGCUAAUACCGCAUAACAACUUUAAACAUAAGUUUUAAGUUUGAAAGAUGCAAUUGCAUCACUCAAAGAUGAUCCCGCGUUGUAUUAGCUAGUUGGUGAGGUAAAGGCUCACCAAGGCGAUGAUACAUAGCCGACCUGAGAGGGUGAUCGGCCGCAGUGGGACUGAGACACGGCCCAAACUCCUACGGGAGGCAGCAGUAGGGAAUCUUCGGCAAUGGACGAAAGUCUGACCGAGCAACGCCGCGGGAGUGAAGAAGGUUGUCGGAUCGUAAAACUCUGUUGGUAGAGAAGAACGUUGGUGAGAGUGGAAAGCUCAUCAAGUGACGGUAACUACCCAGAAAGGGACGGCUAACUACGUG